AAAAACCCCAAUGUCAUGUGGGGCAUUAAGGUUAGGUUUUGAAAAAUCACGAGGCGGCUAAACCUGCACGCUUCACAAACCACCGAUAACUGCUGUUAUGAUUUUGGUCAAAACUGUCUAUUUCUUUUGAUUUUAAUGCACGCCUACUGUUUUUUUUCCUUUUUUUCCAUUAUUAUCUUUUGCUCAUGAUCAUGAAGAUGAAUUGACCCAAACAAAUACUUUUUUAUCAUCCAUCCUCUUUGUUUAUUUUUUUUUAAUAUUUUAUAUUGA
Molecule: unclassified non-coding RNA, 270 nt
Filed under: Hevea brasiliensis (rubber tree)
Lineage: Eukaryota; Viridiplantae; Streptophyta; Magnoliopsida; Malpighiales; Euphorbiaceae
Source: RNAcentral